Tympanuchus pallidicinctus (lesser prairie-chicken) is the source of this 3505-nucleotide long non-coding RNA. RefSeq lists it as uncharacterized. Lineage: Eukaryota; Metazoa; Chordata; Aves; Galliformes; Phasianidae. The transcript is spliced from 3 exons. The record is from RefSeq and is a predicted model, not a curated record.
CCUCGGCGUUGCUCCCCGUUGGUUCCCAUCGCAGCGAUGGGGAAUUGCAGAGCAGCGAUCGCUGAGGUGCUGCUCCGCCUCUCCCAGGCUCGUUCCACUCUACUUUUUGGUUAUUAAACCCAACAAUUGAAAGGGGAAGAGCAGAGAGAAAUGCUGAUUUAAUGGAUGACUUGGAAUAUUUGGUUCCCCAGUGCGAGUCUGCGUCACUGCCCUUUUAAUGAAAGCUUUAUUAGUAAUUAUUAAAAAGGAAAAGAACAACGAAAGCGGAAGGAAAAGAAAACCACGCAGAGGGUUUGCUGCUGGAGCAUGGUUUCUCUGCUGGGUUUUCUCCCUGGGGCCUCGUUUUGGGGAUGAGGUCGGGUGUUCACCAGCUCCAGAGUUGGGUGUCAACCUCUACUCACUGUCGCUCUGCAAGCAGAUGGGCUUUAAUCACUGCCACCAUCAGCAAAUAUCGCAGGGAAAAGGGCUUUGGGGCUCACUGUCGGAAAAUCCAGCUUUGGCAGAGCCGUGUAGGGAUGGUGGAUCCGGCUUAUUUUAAAGCUUGAACUGUUUAUAUUACCUUUAAACAUAGGCUUCAGUCAACAGCGGGAGUGACUGCAAGGCACGGUGCUGCCCAAGGGUCUGCCGGAACAAAGCGACAGCAGCAACUGCGUGCUGAUGGAAAAACAGCACCGGAACACGAUUGGCCCGAACCGCCAAAGAAUGGAGCUGCUAAUCUGUCCUCCUUGCGUGCACCAGGUUUCUCCCAGAGCGAGCAGUUGCUGGACGUUCCCAGAGCUGCAGCUCGGCUCCUGUCCUCCUGCCUUGUAAUUAACGCUCUCAGGUAAUUGCACUUCCAGCCUCUCCACUAAGCCACCGCCAGGCAACUCUGGCUGGGAAGCUGCAGAAUGAGGAAGUGCAAAGGGUGGCUCUGAUGCACCCUGGGGAGCAGCAACCCUGGGAUGGGGCGUUUGUAGAGCUGCGAACAUUUUGGGGCUGGGACAAGGGGGAAAACAUGGGGGCAUGUCUGCUCCCAGCCCCACGCAUCAGCUCCAACCCCACAUUUCUGCUCCCAGCCCUACGUAUCAUUUCCCAGCCCCACACAUCAGCUCCCAGCCAUACAAAUCUCCCCCCAGCCCUGCGUAUCAGCUUCCAACCCUACACAUCAGGUCAUGGCCGUACACAUCAGCUCCCAACCCUGCACAUCAGCUCCCAACCCUGCACAUCUUCCCCCAGCCCUACCUAUCAGCUCUCAGCCCCACACAUCCUCUCCCAGCCCCUGCUUUCAGGCAGGCAGACACGCGCUCUGUGAUUACAAUCAUUAAAUUGCCAAGGAUCUGCAGAGGGGGAGACAAUUAUGAUGGUGACAAAGAGGUUUCUGUCACCCGGGCUGCGCCCCGCGGCUUUGCUCUUGCUCAGGUUGAAUUUAGUGGUUGGGAACGUUCCUUUCUUCCACGGGUUGUUGGUCUGGUGCUGCCCCACAGCAGAGAUCUGGAGUUGUUUGGGGUGUCCUGAGCAAUCUGCAGCUUCCAGGUGCUCCUGGAGGAGGUGGUUCAUUGGGAUGCGAUCCAGGAGCCGAGAUGUGGGGUUGGUUGGGGUGAUGGGGGUGAGCUUGGAGUGCUGGGUGCUCCUGGUGGAGCUGCACGGCUCGGGGGCGUCCCAGGGACAGGGAACCCCAACAUGCGGCCCCAUCUCCUGCUUUGCCACCAGGUAGAAGUGGAUUUAGGGAUUUCCUGGUUGCUUCUUCUUCCAUUUAGCACACGGAGGCCGAUGAUUCAUCGCCAUCCAAUAACGCGUGGCUGCAAACACUCUCACUGCUGUUUAUUCAAACGGUUGUUUGUUAAUUAGCUACUCUUAACGAGGAGAGAAUAAAUCAGGUAAAACACACCUGAAUGGCACGGGGACGGUUUGCAGAUUGGUUUUGUUUUCCAGCAGAGAUGCAGCCAUGAAGCUUCUGUGGAGAUCCCAGUGCAUAGGCAACAAAACGUAUGGAGACCCUGUGUGUGUAGGGGUGGGUGGUGCAUGGAGAUGUGUGUAACGGGGUGGGAGGCGCAGGGACGCCCUAUGUGUGUGCAGGCUAUGAGUUGUAUAUGGACAUCGAGCUCUAUAGGGGAUGAAAUGUACAUGGAAGCUUCGUAUGGAGCCCAGGGGACGUGCAUGGGCACCCUUUGCAUUGGAUGCAUAGGAUGUGCAUGGAGAUGUGUAGGAUGUGCGUGGGAGCAUGUAGGAUUCAUGUGGAGGUGUAUGGGAUGUGCAUGGAGAUGUGCAGGAUGCCUGUGGAGGUGCUUGGGGUGUAUGGAGAUGUAUGGGAUGCAGAUGGAGAUCUAUAGGAUGGAAGUGGAGGUACAUAGGAUGUGCAUGGAGAUCUAUAGGAUGGAUGUAGAGGUACAUAGGAUGCAGGUGGAGAUGUAUAGGAUGGACAUGGAGGCACAUAGGAUGUGCAUGGAGAUCUAUAGGAUGGACGUGGAGGUAUAUAGGAUGCAGGUGGAGAUCUAUAGGAUGGAUGUGGAGGUCCAUAGGAUGCAGGUGGACAUCUAUAGGAUGGACACGGAGGCACAUAGGAUGUGCAUGGGGAUCUGUGGGAUGCACAUAGAGAUCUAUAGGACGCACACAGAGCUGUAUGGGAUGUGCGCAGUGGGAUUCCCGUGGUCCCGUCCCCCAUCCACGGUGCAGAGCAGUGAUUAAUGGGGCUGUGUGUGGGAGCACGGGGAUGGAGGAGGGAACUCCUACUGCACCCCGCCAUGAAUCACCGGGAAGGCGAAUCGGUGCCGUUACCACGGGAACAGAGAGAGGAAGGGACUUCCCUGCCGAAAUGAUGCGGCGGAGAAAAUCGCUCCAAAAAAAAAAAAAGAAGAAGAAGGAAAAAAGAGGCGAAGCUGUGACUAAGCAGCAGAAGUUAUGUAAAGCACCGUGGGGAAGCGCAGGGGAGGGACGGCACGUCCUGCGCUGCCCACGGCCGUAGCCCACACCGCCUCCCCUGCACUGGGGGUGGUGGCAGUGGGAGAUGCUCUCACCAAAGGCAGUGGGGUUUGGGGUGGAUUAUGGGGCGUUGUGCGUCUGUGGGGCCGGAUCCCCGCGUGGAUGGGGCUGGAGAGGAGUGGUGGUGGAGAGGAUUCGGGGAGAGGGGCCGGGUGUUGGUGCUUAGCGAUGCGCGCCUGCCUUGAGUGGUGCUGGUUGGGAUUUAGGGGGGCUCGGCCAAAGUUGUCAGCGAUCAUCUGAAUUUGGGAUGCUCAUGCAAAGUCGGGGUCACUCCUCCAAAAUUAGGGAUGCUCAUCCAAAGUCGGGGUCACUCAUCCAAAAUUAGGGAUGCUCAUCCAAAUUUGGGGAAGCUCAUCCAAGAUUAGGGAUGCUCGUCUGAAUUUGGAGAAGCUCAUGCAAAGUCAGUGUUGCUUGUGCACAUUUGGGAUGUUCAUCCAGAGCUGGACCCCUAAAGUUAGGAUUGCUGGUCAGAAUUUAGGGGUGUUUGUUCAAAUUUAGGGAAAUGCGUUUUGAAUUUGGUGCUGCCAUCCGAAUUCGGGGAUGCUCA